Molecule: non-coding RNA, 2736 nt
Organism: Cricetulus griseus (Chinese hamster)
Lineage: Eukaryota; Metazoa; Chordata; Mammalia; Rodentia; Cricetidae
Source: RefSeq, a predicted model, not a curated record
UUAAGAGUGAUCUUCACAGUCAGAUCCUCCGAGUCAUCUUGCGGUGCUCGUCACGGGACUGUAAAGGGAGCGGCAUCCAAUACCAGGGAGGGAUCUCACAGGCACAGCUCCCUGGGCUGAUGCAAAAACCUUCCUAACGAGCUUCUUCUCUCCAGUCUCAGCCAAGAGCUGGCUGGACCGCCCAAUUGCUACAUUGCUUUGGCUAUAAUGAUUGCAAUUUGGCAGCUUACAGGAUGUUGAACCGGGGACCGGAGAGGGAGAAGAUAGUAGGCCCGGUUGCCAAAGGCAAUGCCGGAAAAGACAGAAGGAUGAAUUUAUGGUGGCCCGUGGUCCUAGAGCUGGAAGGGAAAGUAAAGGGAUUUUAAGACUCCAGCAGGUGCUCUAACUCCUGCUGUACCCCUAAGCUUCAUUUCCCUCCAAGAUCCAGACCGUAGCUAGAGGGGAUGCGAUUAGGGGCCAGGACUAUGACUCACUGAUCAAAAAGGACGCUUCCAACUACUUUGCACUUUUGGUUGUGUAUUAUGGAUACUAAGGAGGAGAAGAAGGAACAGAAGGAACGGAAACAGAGUUAUUUUGCUCGGAUGCUUGGUAGACUUUCCCAUUCUGACAGAGGGAAACCGUGAUGGCUGCGUAGAUGGAAAGACUGGCUGGUACAGUGGGUGUUCAGACAGUUCAUCCCAGCCCUUCCUCCAUGGAGACCUGCACUUUGAUCCUCACUCAGUUCUCAUCCCCAUCGGCUGCUCUCAUCCUGUGAUCUGUUCCUGUUGUUGAGAUCAGGAAGAAGGAACUGUUAUAUAAUAAGCCAAAUUGGAAUCACAUGCUUCCCAGAGACACUGUUAGGUAGUACAGUUAGGUACUCAAAAAUUAUGAAGGAAAUUAUAUAGUCCAAAGGGCUUUGGGAAAGCUGAAUUUCCCAUGCACUUAACAGUUGGGUCCUAAGCCCAUGAGACAAAAGUAUCGAUGAUGUACUUACUGGUUUAGUACUUUAGAUUCAGUGACUGGUAAUCAAAGUCACUGUCAUAUCUCAGGGAGGCAUGCCAGAGCUGCAGACUCCCUGUACUACCAGGAAGAUGUUGAGGUAGCCAGAGGUCUGGACUGGUCACCUUUAUCUGUGAUCAGCAUCUUUUUCCAGGGCUUAGUAUAUUAUUACCCCCUUCCUCCAUGCCUUGAUGGGAAAAAAAGCUUUGAAAACAGAUCCUUAGAAUCUUCAUGCCAAACGUCUGAUAUGUGAAAAUCUUCAUCCGCAAAUAGGAAUUGACUGUUAGGUUAGUUUAGACCUAAAGAUGUGGCUAUCAGGUCAACAGCAAAGCAGCAUCUAAAACCCUGCCUUGCCUUCCCAUCCAGAGCUUGUGCUCUCUCACCCUGCUCACAGCCACGUGGCACUCUUGUGGCUAAAAACAGCUUGUAGAGUGCAGCUUCUUAAACUGGGCCACACCCCUAAUGGGGUGUAACUUAAGUGUGGGUGUCUUGAGAAAGAUGACACAAAUAAAAGGGUUCUUGACUUAGAAUAACCAACGUGUAACUCAAAAUCAAACGUCAAGUGAAUUCCAGGAUCUUCUGGGCAGUUUGCCGUUGCACAGCUUCCCAGCAUCCUUGGAUCUGAACACACAGCCAGCGUGUAGCUGUGCACCAUUGUGCCUCUCAGUGCUGGGGAAUGUUGCUGGAAACACCUCUGCUCUGGUUUGAGACUGUUGUGUGCUUUGAACUGUGGUGUAUUUACUAUAUAAACAAGUCCUCUGCUUUCGUAGAAACACAGUUUAAUUAUAGAAAGCAAAGACGUACAUUUUCCUACUCCUAUUCCUUAGCAUGUUAAGUAUCAAGUGAGUGUAUCUUCCAAACUAUGUAAUAGUGGUUGGUUUUUAAAAUUUAUUUUUAUUAUUAUUUACUUAUGUGUACAUGUAUAUGUCUCCAUAUGAGUGAGGAGGACAGAGGCGUGGCAGAUCUCCUGGAGCUGGGGUUACAGGCAGCUGUUGGGGUUACAGGAAGCUGUUGAGCUGCCAGAUGUGGGUGCCGGGAAUUGAACUCAGGUCCUCUGCAAGAAUGGUAUGUGCCCCUAACCUGUGAGCCAUCAUUCCAAUGCCAUAGCUCCUGAUUUAAAACAAAACAAAACAAAACUGGUGUUUGAAUUGUUGACCUGAGUUUAACUUUAGAAAAAACAAUCAUUAAAUGCAUUUGAGCUUGGAAAUAGGACACAAUGUGUAAUAUAAUGGUUUCUGGGGUGCCUUGAGCAUACCUGUACACUCUGAGCUGUGUAUUUGUGGAGUGACAUCCUCAGCCUUGACAGUUAUAAGGCAAAAAUUGGAUCUUUUCUGAAGAAUAUUGAAAAUGCUGAUUGUCCAAUAAUCAGCCAAGAGUUCAUUCUGUCUUGUUAAUAUAGAAGAUUACAUUCAUCUUUAAUAAAUGAUAAAAUUAUAUGUAUGCCAAAAUUAUUUUAAAGUGAGUUCAUGAUUUAUUAUCAGUAAAUAUUUAAUGUGUAUUCGUGUUUUAUAAUACCUGCACAUACAGGGUCACAUAUAAGUCCCUCAGAUAAAAAGGAGUUAUAUGUGGAAAAAAUCUGAAGAAUUCUGCUAUAGGUUAACUCAGGUUGUGUGGCGUGCUAAUCCUAACAGUGUGGGAGGAACAGACAUCUGUGGGCAAUCCUGGCAGCUUAAACUAAGUUAACCCAUUGUAAAUUAAAUUGGAAAAAUUCAUCCUAGCCUCUGGAAUUUCAAGUUUAAUAAAGAUCUUUUCAAAGUA